CAGCUCUGUCCACAGCCUCUCGACACUUCUGCUCGAAGGAGCCUUCUCCCGGCUGAGGUGACCUCCAGUGGCCUUUGUCUCCUCGGUAGGGGCAGGGAAGGGCCACCCGGCGUCCAGCCCACCCCAGCUGCCCUGAGGGUGACCCUCGCUCUGCCUCGAGGGGGUGGCCCCCAUCACACCGUCCAGAAUAAUACAUUAUGAGGAGCAGAAGAGAAAUGGUGCCAUGGAGUGGCCCUGAAGUUGGGUCACCUCUGUGAGCUCUGAUCCCGGGAGGACCAGCGGCCCCUGCCCGAGACACAGUCUCCACCCUGUCCUUUCCAAGGGCCAUCUACCCGGCCAAGAGGCCAAGGAAGCCGAGGCAGGCAGGCCCAAGGAGACUGAGCUGUGGCGUGGGGCUUUGGGAGGCCAGCCCAUCUGGAUCUACUGGAUGAAGACUCCAUCCCCUCGCCCCACGGUCCCCAUGGGGGACGCCCCGCACGCUCCUCAGGGAGGGCAGCCACUCAGCCUGAGGCUCCAGUCCCACCACGCUGCUCCUCCAGAGCCCGAGCGGGCGCUGCACAGUCAGAACCCUUUUCACCAGCGCUGUCACGAGGGCCCAGAGGGAAGGAAAAGCCCUAACCCCUCGCCCAGGCCUGCGGCACUAGUUUUCAACUCUUCAGGAAGCCAGCUUGCCAGAGUUGGGGAGAUUUCGGAGAAACACAUCAGCCCCACCCAGAACCAAGUGGUGGGAGACCUGGAGGGUCAGGGCAUUUGUGCCCCGACGGGGACCUGAAGCCCGGUGGACACUGGGAACCACUGUCCACUCGACCUUGCUGCCAUCCGCUGCUUCUGUUCUCUCAGCCGCUGGCUCUGUGUGGAUCCUGACCAGCAGCUGCUGCCUCCCCGAGAACUUGUCAGAAAAGCAGACUCUCAGGCCCAGCUGCCCCUGUGGAGCCCUAAGUCUGGGGUGGGCCCGGCCAUCUCCGGGCCUCGCUGGUGGUUCUGCUGCAGGCUAACAUCUUCCUGCCGACUGUGACACACACGCGCUUGCUCCAGCCUCUGCGCUCGCUCCUCAGGUCCCAGCUGAGCAGUUGCUCUUGGGCACCCCUAGCCCUCUCCUGCUGGCCAGCUCAGGUGCCGGGGAGUCGGCAUCUUGAAGCUUUGCCUGGGCUGGAUGGAGAAGCUCCAGUCUUCGCCUUCACCUUGGACGCCACCUCCUGGCUUCCAGUGCAGGCUCUUCAGCUUCCAGCGUAGACCAUCGGCCUCCUGAUACUGACUUGCACGGGACACUGCAGUGAGCUCCAGACCUUCCACUGAAUCAUCGGUUCAACUUUAGCUGAGUGAAUCUGAGGGAGGUUCUCAGGAGAUAAGGCAACCUUAACACAAUUCUUUGCUUUCUACUUAACUUACCAUUUAUCAUUGCAACAUUAACCAUAAUUCACCUCCUCCGACUCUGUGGAUGGCCACUGUAAGCCAA
This 1456-nucleotide long non-coding RNA is filed under the name Heterocephalus glaber (naked mole-rat). Its description in RNAcentral is "lncRNA (ENSHGLG00000043167.1)". Lineage: Eukaryota; Metazoa; Chordata; Mammalia; Rodentia; Bathyergidae. The record is from RNAcentral.